CCUACGGGGGGCUGCAGUGAGGAAUAUUGGUCAAUGGGCGAGAGCCUGAACCAGCCAAGUCGCGUGAGGGAGUACUGCCCUAUGGGUUGUAAACCUCUUUUGUCGGGGAGCAAAAGCCGGAAGUGUCCGGCUGUGAGAGUACCCGAAGAAAAAGCAUCGGCUAACUCCGUGCCAGCAGCCGCGGUAAUACGGAGGAUGCGAGCGUUAUCCGGAUUUAUUGGGUUAAUAGGGUGCGCAGGCGGAUUUUUAAGUCAGCGGUAAAAUCGUGGGGCUCAACCCCAUCCAGCCGUUGAAACUGGGGAUCUAGAGUGUGCGAGAGGUAUGCGGAAUGCGUGGUGUAGCGGUGAAAUGCAUAGAUAUCACGCAGAACCCCGAUUGCGAAGGCAGCAUACCGGUGCACAACUGACGCUCAGGCACGAAAGCGUGGGUAUCGAACAGGAUUAGAUACCCUAGUAGUC
This 458-nucleotide ribosomal RNA is filed under the name uncultured bacterium. RNAcentral describes it as "partial 16S ribosomal RNA". It matches the Rfam family "Bacterial small subunit ribosomal RNA", at positions 338 to 795 of the family's 1533-position model. The record is from RNAcentral.